RNAcentral lists this ribosomal RNA (459 nucleotides) under uncultured bacterium. Its description in RNAcentral is "partial 16S ribosomal RNA". It matches the Rfam family "Bacterial small subunit ribosomal RNA", at positions 338 to 795 of the family's 1533-position model. The record is from RNAcentral.
CCUACGGGGUGCAGCAGUGAGGAAUAUUGGUCAAUGGCCGGAAGGCUGAACCAGCCAAGCCGCGUGAAGGACGAAGGUGCCAAGCAUUGUAAACUUCUUUUGUCGGGGAGCAAAAGACGCCACGCGUGGCUUUCCGAGAGUACCCGAAGAAAAAGCAUCGGCUAACUCCGUGCCAGCAGCCGCGGUAAUACGGAGGAUGCGAGCGUUAUCCGGAUUUAUUGGGUGUAAAGGGUGCGCAGGCGGAAGUUUAAGUCAGCGGUAAAAUUGAGAGGCUCAACCUCUUCGAGCCGUUGAAACUGGUUUUCUUGAGUGAGUGAGAAGUAUGCGGAAUGCGUGGUGUAGCGGUGAAAUGCAUAGAUAUCACGCAGAACUCCGAUUGCGAAGGCAGCAUACCGGCGCUCAACUGACGCUCAUGCACGAAAGUGUGGGGAUCGAACAGGAUUAGAUACCCGAGUAGUC